GAUGAACGCUGGCGGCGUGCCUAAUACAUGCAAGUCGAGCGAACAGACGAGGAGCUUGCUCCUCUGACGUUAGCGGCGGACGGGUGAGUAACACGUGGAUAACCUACCUAUAAGACUGGGAUAACUUCGGGAAACCGGAGCUAAUACCGGAUAAUAUACUGAACCGCAUGGUUCAAUAGUGAAAGACGGUUUUGCUGUCACUUAUAGAUGGAUCCGCGCCGCAUUAGCUAGUUGGUAAGGUAACGGCUUACCAAGGCAACGAUAUGUUGCCGACCUGUGAGGGAGUUCGGCCACCCGCGAACAGAGACCCGGCCCAGACACCUUCGGGAGCAGCCCGUACCCAAUCUUCCGCCACAGGCGAAGGCUUAGCAGAGCAACCCCGCGUAUGUGUUCCUGGUCCUCCGACCGUAAAGCUCUGUUAUCCGGGAAGAACAAAUGUCUAAGUAACUACGCACGUCUUGACGGUCCCUAAUCAGCCAGCCACGGCUCACUUCGUG
Molecule: ribosomal RNA, 497 nt
Filed under: uncultured bacterium
Lineage: Bacteria
Description: partial 16S ribosomal RNA
Rfam family: Bacterial small subunit ribosomal RNA
Source: RNAcentral